RNAcentral lists this ribosomal RNA (447 nucleotides) under uncultured bacterium. RNAcentral's name for it is "bacterial SSU rRNA". It matches the Rfam family "Bacterial small subunit ribosomal RNA", at positions 331 to 795 of the family's 1533-position model. The record is from RNAcentral.
CCAGACUCCUACGGGAGGCAGCAGUGGGGGAUAUUGCACAAUGGGGGAAACCCUGAUGCAGCGACGCCGCGUGAGUGAAGAAGUAUUUCGGUAUGUAAAGCUCUAUCAGCAGGGAAGAAAAUGACGGUACCUGAUUAAGAAGCCCCGGCUAACUACGUGCCAGCAGCCGCGGUAAUACGUAGGGGGCAAGCGUUAUCCGGAUUUACUGGGUGUAAAGGGGGCGCAGACGGCAAUGCAAGCCAGGAGUGAAAGCCCGGGGCCCAACCCCGGGACUGCUCUUGGAACUGCAUGGCUGGAGUACAGGAGGGGCAGGCGGAAUUCCUAGUGUAGCGGUGAAAUGCGUAGAUAUUAGGAGGAACACCAGUGGCGAAGGCGGCUUACUGGACUGUAACUGACGUUGAGGCUCGAAAGCGUGGGGAGCAAACAGGAUUAGAUACCCUAGUAGCA